UGCAAUUCCCGAAUAGUCUUUCUUCUCUCUCUCUCUCUCACCACUUUUAAGUUUUAUCUUCACUUCCUCAUUCUCUCCUACUUUAUGCAAUAAAACAUCCAAAACAACAACAACGAUUAAGAUUUAGCUUCUUUGAGGAUCAAGUUCCCAAAACAACAACGACUAUGAAGAUGUCGUAAUUUUGAAGGAGCAAAAAACUUCAUCACUGAGAUCGAAAAUAACCACUUCGUGAUUGUUAAAUCCUACACCCCUGAUGUUGUCACAGUAACGUCAAGUUGUUUGUGUACGCCGCCGUCGCCGCCGAGUUGAAAAGAGACGGUGUAUAGUAUAGUUUUGGCCAUGUUGAAUGCUUUGAAGGAAAAUUAGUUCAUCAGUACCUUUAACAGGAAAUAGAACCCGCAUGAAAAUUAAUUAACAUAGCAUGAAAGAGAUGCAUAAAUUAAGGUUGAGAAAUUUAUUACUGACGUUGUUCCUCUACAUAGAUCUGUUAAGGAAGGAGAUUUUUGGGUUCUAAGAGAAGGAACAUGUUUGUUUUGUUUGGACGAGAACGAAGGCAAGCUAAUUUCUUUUUUAAUUAAAAAAAAUGGGAAAGUGCAGCGCGUGGUAAAUAGUUGUAUUCACGCGUCCGUGAAAUUUCGUUGUGAAACUGCCGUACCAAAUAGCAUUCCUGAAAAUAAUAUUCGCAAUGACCAAAACAAAAA
This 701-nucleotide long non-coding RNA is filed under the name Medicago truncatula (barrel medic). RNAcentral's name for it is "long non-coding RNA (MTRU_LNC002530)". Lineage: Eukaryota; Viridiplantae; Streptophyta; Magnoliopsida; Fabales; Fabaceae. The record is from RNAcentral.